AAAAAAAUAUAAUAUAAAAAAUGGGUGAAAGGGUUGCCAUCGCGUGGGCGAUAUUUUUCUAAGUGCGGGAAUCGAUAGUAGCUUUAAAGUAUGGCAACUCCCCCACCCUAUUUAUUCUAGUGCAUUUAGUUGAAUUGAACGUGUUGAAUUGCAUUUAACAAAAGAAAUCUACUAAUAAUACUAAUUAUAAUUAGUGGGUAGAAUUACUAGAAUAAAGAAGAAAUUGUCGCAUUGUUUUUAUCGCAUUGUUUUGAUGUUUAUGUAUGUAUGUUAGUAUGUAUAUCAGCAAAAUCAGUUAUGCACAUAUCAGUUAUGCACAUAUAUGCCAUGCUAUAUUUGAAUCAACAAGGAGUGAUUUUUCCACCUACGACGACUUCAUUAGGGCCAUCCGGGAUGGAAUAAGGAGAGCCAAAAAUAAAAAUUAUAAGGAAAAAUCCAAAAAAAACAAAGAAAAUU
This 456-nucleotide small RNA is filed under the name Drosophila ananassae. Its description in RNAcentral is "GF27010". The record is from RNAcentral. Lineage: Eukaryota; Metazoa; Arthropoda; Insecta; Diptera; Drosophilidae.